GAUGUAACACAAUCAAGAAAUUCAACAAAAUAUUUAGCAAAAAACAGUUAUAAAGCUUGAAAGUUUCAUCGACACUCAUUCUCUUCUUAAUAUAAUGCGCUUCAUUGAGAUAACAACAAUCAAUACACAAAGUCACAAUCACAUGUAAAUGAUUGGCAGAAAAUGAAAACCAAAUUGAAAGGGAAAACCUGAGCAAUGGGAGCUUUGGAAGAGGAAAACUGAAAAUUGUGGAGAUCGUUUUGGAGUAAUUCGAGCUCGGAAUCUUCUUGAUCAGAGAAAUGAUAAUCAUCGUCAUUGUCGCUGUAACCGUAAUCUUCCAUUUCCUUGACCAGAAUUUAGAGAAAGUGUAGAAAGAGAGAAGAAAGAUCGUAGAAAGAAUACAAGUGUUUUUAUCAACCAAGACUCGAAAGGAAAAGCUAAAAGAUUUGAAGUGUGGAUUUUUGCUUUUGCUUUAUUACGUAUUCAUAUAUACCAAACACAAGUGUGAGGUAAGCCUCACCAUGCACAUG
Molecule: long non-coding RNA, 509 nt
Filed under: Trifolium pratense (red clover)
Lineage: Eukaryota; Viridiplantae; Streptophyta; Magnoliopsida; Fabales; Fabaceae
Description: long non-coding RNA (TPRA_LNC003978)
Source: RNAcentral